This 447-nucleotide ribosomal RNA is filed under the name uncultured bacterium. Its description in RNAcentral is "bacterial SSU rRNA". It matches the Rfam family "Bacterial small subunit ribosomal RNA", at positions 330 to 794 of the family's 1533-position model. The record is from RNAcentral.
ACCAGACUCCUACGGGAGGCAGCAGUGGGGAAUAUUGCACAAUGGGGGGAACCCUGAUGCAGCGACGCCGCGUGGGUGAAGAAGCGCCUCGGCGCGUAAAGCCCUGUCAGCAGGGAAGAAAAUGACGGUACCUGAAGAAGAAGCCCCGGCUAACUACGUGCCAGCAGCCGCGGUAAUACGUAGGGGGCAAGCGUUAUCCGGAUUUACUGGGUGUAAAGGGGGCGCAGACGGCGAUGCAAGCCAGGAGUGAAAGCCCGGGGCCCAACCCCGGGACUGCUCUUGGAACUGCGUGGCUGGAGUGCAGGAGGGGCAGGCGGAAUUCCUGGUGUAGCGGUGAAAUGCGUAGAUAUCAGGAGGAACACCGGUGGCGAAGGCGGCCUGCUGGACUGCAACUGACGUUGAGGCCCGAAAGCGUGGGGAGCAAACAGGAUUAGAUACCCCGGUAGA